This 3276-nucleotide long non-coding RNA is filed under the name Hordeum vulgare. RNAcentral's name for it is "long non-coding RNA (HVUL_LNC007573)". The record is from RNAcentral. Lineage: Eukaryota; Viridiplantae; Streptophyta; Magnoliopsida; Poales; Poaceae.
GUUGUGUAUUAGCAUAUUCCUUGUAGUGAUUUACAGCAGCUGCUCGUCCUCCUACUUCAUGUCUCCAUCCGCAUGGAAAAGGGCAAGUUAGUUGAAUGGCAUGCACAUGAUAAAACUGCAAGGCAUAUAUAUUUAUCUACAUAAACUGCAUGUGAACACAUGUGAUGAAUUAAUGACUGAAAUCUGUACUGUACUGGUAGGUGUUUAUGCACCAAUAUGUACAUGUAAACACUUCACCGGAUAUUUCCUUCCAAACAUUGUAAGGCAAAGAUAGAUAGUGAUACUACACAUACUGAAGGUAAACCGUAUUGACUUGAAAGCAAUAAAUUGAUUGUAUAUGUUUGCCAACAUAAAAUUCUACUCAAGUUUUCACGCACAUUUACAUGUUCUGAGAUACGGAAUGCAACUGGUUUGUAGAAGAAAGAGAUUAUUUCCUAUGAAAUGCACACCUUAUAAUUAAAUAAAAUCAUUGUUGAGCAAUAGAUAAAAAUAGUAUCUCCUGAGUUGUGACAAUCCUAGAUUGAUAUUAUAGCUUUUCAACUCAUGUUAAAUAAACAUAGCAGAUUACAACACUUGGAAAGGAUAGAGAUUUCUAUUUAUAAAUAGAUAGGAGUAGAGAAAGAAGCACCUCUGAGUGGUACGCUCAUUGCUUGUAUACUUUUAUCUGAUGGGUUGUGCAGCAAGAUGAACCAUUUUCUUUAUCUGAUGGGUUGUGCAGCAAGAUGAACCAUUUUCUUCAGACUCCUCCAAAUAGAGUAUGCAACACCUCCUACUAAAUGUAAUGUAAAAAUGAGAUGCAACUAAAGAGAAGAUACACAAGUAAUGUAAUCAAUUUAAAAACAAAAUUAGCACAUGUGUGCGCCCAUCAAAAGCACAUUCAAAUAUGUACAGACUGGUAAUAUAUAACAGAGCUCAUUCACAUUGAUUUGUACGGCUUCGGUACAACCGUGUCAUUGAAUAUCAAGGAAAUAGUAAAAUAUUGCACAAAGGGAUGAUGCAAUACAUAUCAUGUUUGUAAACAAGUUCACUCUUCCAGAUGCUCAAGUCCUACGCAUGAGAUAACAUGGCAAAGAAUCAACGCGAACAUUCAUUGCGGACCAUGAGAAACAACAGUAUAAAAAAGAGUUCACUUUUUUUUCUUACAGUAUAGGAUAAAUUUAAUAGCUUGUUCAACGGCACCAACCUAAAAGUGCUACCAAAUCUGUGAUGAAAUGAAUAGUAAAAGGAACGCUUCCUUAGAAAGCAAGUCACCAAUUUUUAUCUGUUGUAAAGAGAAAAAAGAACGCUUUCUUAGAAAAAUGAACAAACCCAAAAACAAGCUUUGCACAACCAACUCUUGGUGCCCCUGGAGCGUAACAAGUUCUAUGGGCCUGUAAUGACCAUGAUUUCCAUCGAGUUUUUUCUCUUCUGUAGAUAUGCUCUCCUGUAAUAAUAUUGAAAGAACCAAGUCAGUUUCUCACUAAUAAUCACAAGACAAAGAUGCUGGGAAACUAAUCCUUACUGCUACAGGAUCAAAAAUAGUACCCCCUGUGUAAAGAAAUAUGAGGACGUUUAGAUCACUAGAGGGAGUAGUUUCUAACAUAAAUAUUAGUGUCAACUGAACUCUCACAAGUAAGACACCUGCUUGGUAAGCUCGAUUACCACAAAUUGAAUAUUAAUUCUGUAUAGGAUUACACUAAAGAAAAACAGGAAAUCAUUUAUAAGUUGACUAUUUGUGGGGCCUCAUUGGGGUUUUAUAUUUUGAAGGGACAGACACACAGGAUAGUAGUUCCAUCGUGAUGAGUACUUUUCUACUAACAACCAUCACCAUUAAUAGCAUACCCAAGACUGGACCUGGAGCAUUUGGUACAUCUCACUCAUAUCUAGCAAAGGCAGCAAUAGGUAUUAUAUAACAACCUACAAGCUCAACAAUUAAGACAUGUUUAUAUCUUGCAAAAGAAACAUGUGACGUUUUACCAAUCAAGAUAAAAUUAAGCGGCCCAAGUAAACAUGCUCAAACAAUAAUUAUCUGGAAAAAAUUAUUUGUCCCUGCUACAUGUAAAUCCAAUACCCAUUCAAUACUUGGCAUCACUAAACGAGAAAUCUAAAUGACAAAAUUAGUAAUCUCUGCUCCUACUUGAAUGAACUCAACAAAUAUGACAGCAUGCACUCUGCAUCAUAAACACUAGAAAUCACCAUGGCCAGCACAUAAUUUCUCAAGCAAUAGGGCUCCAUGGUCGUGGACACGCGCAGAGCACAAGCGUUAGCAUGAGCGAACAGUUGGUUGCUUACCAUAUAUGCCUGAGAGGAAGAAGAACGACUGGAUUCAUCGGAGUGGAAGAAGAAUCACAAGGUGGCUGUGUCCUGCACCGCCACCUGCACGCAUUAGAAAGUGCAUGAGGGAACCAAGCCAUGAUCGCUUAUGCAUCAGGGCUACCAAAUCGAACAAAGCAGGGGAGGGGGAGCAAAACAUUGACCUAUUGGUAAUAUAACACAUACACCCUCUUUACACUAUUAAAAGACGUUUUGUGCAUACCUAAUAACAUAUCACACACUUGACUAUUUAAGCAAAAAACAUGAGCUGCGCCUUCAGAUCUGGUGCUACUACAAGUGUUGAUUUCUGAAUUUGUACCUAAGUACAAGUUCAGUUCAUAUACACAAAUAUAUUAUGUAUGUUUGUGCAUGACCAUGCAGAACUGAAGUGAAUAAUGUGGACGGUGACAUAUACUGAUUGACAUGGAACAAUAUACUAUGAUGGUAGAUUUUCAAUCACGUGUCUAGAGGAGAAUUCAUAGUUGUGUAAUUGCACAUGGUCGGAAAUGCUUUACCUCCACUAAUAAUGCAUAUUGCACACUUAACUAUUUUUAGCUAAACAUGAGGCGCACCUUCAGACCUGCUACUACAAGUGUUCGAGUCUGAAUUUCUUUUGUACCACAACAUAGGAUGAGCAGAGAGAGAGAUGACAGACCCAAGCUGCUGCUGAUUUGAUGGACCUGGACGACGGUUGCACCAUAGAUUUGCUCUCUAAGAAAGCGUUCCUCUUUUCUCUGGUCAAACCCAAGUCACCAUAGAAAAAUGAACAUGCCCAAAUCUAUUCAACAUGCUGUAAAGCAAUCUACUCUAAAAUCAGAGAGCAUGCAACAUAAAAAAGGAUUAAACAAGAAACAUUUAGAUCUCCAUAGGCAUGCAGAUCGCCCCACCUCCCUUGCCCGUUUCUCGUCUUUCUCGUCCUUUUACACCUUCUACUCCAUCCUCAUCCCCUUCUACUCAUUUUGUCUGGUCACGGAAUAGACCAAA